RNAcentral lists this transfer RNA (76 nucleotides) under Moraxellaceae bacterium. Its description in RNAcentral is "tRNA-His". It matches the Rfam family "tRNA". Rfam says of the family: Transfer RNA (tRNA) molecules are approximately 80 nucleotides in length. Their secondary structure includes four short double-helical elements and three loops (D, anti-codon, and T loops). Lineage: Bacteria; Pseudomonadati; Pseudomonadota; Gammaproteobacteria; Moraxellales; Moraxellaceae. The record is from RNAcentral.
GUGGUCGUAGCUCAGUUGGUAGAGUCCCGGAUUGUGAUUCCGGCCGUCGUGGGUUCGAGUCCCAUCGACCACCCCA